GCGAGGGUUGUCGAGCGGUCAAAGGCGCUGGACUUAAGAUCCAGUUUCGGAGGAAUUCGUGGGUUCAAAUCCCACCCCUUGCA
This 83-nucleotide transfer RNA is filed under the name Candidatus Methanofrustulum fimipullorum. RNAcentral's name for it is "tRNA-Leu". It matches the Rfam family "tRNA". Rfam says of the family: Transfer RNA (tRNA) molecules are approximately 80 nucleotides in length. Their secondary structure includes four short double-helical elements and three loops (D, anti-codon, and T loops). Lineage: Archaea; Methanobacteriati; Methanobacteriota; Methanomicrobia; Methanosarcinales; Methanosarcinaceae. The record is from RNAcentral.